Molecule: small RNA, 163 nt
Filed under: Arabidopsis thaliana (thale cress)
Lineage: Eukaryota; Viridiplantae; Streptophyta; Magnoliopsida; Brassicales; Brassicaceae
Description: ATSL113830
Source: RNAcentral
AUUUUUUUGGAAAACAAAAUUAAUGCUAGUGGCAUUGGGUUGUAAAUAAGGUCAAUUCUAAGAUUUAUUUGUUAAAAUGGCUGCAAAAAUGUAUAUAUAGAUUCUAAUCAUAUCAUUUUGAAGUAGGGGGAAUGUACAACAUAGAUUUAGUUCUUUAUGUGUU